UACGAAGGGGGCUAGCGUUGCUCGGAAUUACUGGGCGUAAAGGGCGCGUAGGCGGCCUCCUAAGUCAGACGUGAAAUCCCCCGGCUUAACCUGGGAACUGCGUCUGAUACUGGGAGGCUAGAGUGCGGGAGAGGGAUGCGGAAUUCCAGGUGUAGCGGUGAAAUGCGUAGAUAUCUGGAGGAACACCGGUGGCGAAGGCGGCGUUCUGGACUGUAACUGACACUGAGGAACGAAAGCCAGGGGAGCAAACGGG
Molecule: ribosomal RNA, 253 nt
Filed under: uncultured bacterium
Lineage: Bacteria
Description: partial 16S ribosomal RNA
Rfam family: Bacterial small subunit ribosomal RNA
Source: RNAcentral